Molecule: ribosomal RNA, 202 nt
Filed under: Lygodactylus heterurus
Lineage: Eukaryota; Metazoa; Chordata; Lepidosauria; Squamata; Gekkonidae
Description: partial large subunit ribosomal RNA
Rfam family: Archaeal large subunit ribosomal RNA
Source: RNAcentral
CCUGACCGUGCAAAGGUAGCGCAAUCACUUGCCCUUUAAUUAGGGGCUAGUAUGAACGGUUACACGAGGGUUUUACUGUCUCCUAAGGCUAAUCAAUGAACUUGAUGAUUCAGUACAAACGCUGAAAUAAAGCCACAAGACGAGAAGACCCUGUGGAACUUUAAGUUUCUGCCAGCGGACCAAAGAGCCUUUCCCCCCCCCC